Molecule: non-coding RNA, 92 nt
Filed under: Mandrillus leucophaeus (drill)
Lineage: Eukaryota; Metazoa; Chordata; Mammalia; Primates; Cercopithecidae
Source: RNAcentral
GGCUGGUCCUUGUGCAGCAGUGUUUACAACUAUUUGAUCACAACCAAUUACAGUUCUUCCCCACUCCCAUUGCUUCACUUGACUGUCCUUAA